RNAcentral lists this small RNA (107 nucleotides) under Marmota monax (woodchuck). The record is from RNAcentral. Lineage: Eukaryota; Metazoa; Chordata; Mammalia; Rodentia; Sciuridae.
GCUGGGCUCAGUGGCAUGGGCCUGUAAUCCCAGCUACGUGGGAGGAUGAGGCGGGAGGAUCAUAAGUUUGAGGCCAGCCUCAGCAAUUUAGUGAGACCCUGUCUCUG